This 995-nucleotide long non-coding RNA is filed under the name Marmota monax (woodchuck). The record is from RNAcentral. Lineage: Eukaryota; Metazoa; Chordata; Mammalia; Rodentia; Sciuridae.
GUGUAGAUGUUAGUCCCCACACAUGUGGGUACACAACUGCAGAAAAUUCAUCCAUUCCAGUUAAGCUGGAUUCAUACUCAUUGCAUAUAGAGUGUAUAUGUGUGCAGAUGAUACUUGGAGAGAAUAUAACACAUGAUAACUUUUACUAGUGCACGGUGAAGCUGAUGGUUAUGGAUAUAUUCAUAGUGGUAUCUGAAUUCAUUUCCCACAUUUACCAAGAGGAUGAUGGGCUACCUGUUAAUCAGAGAUAAAUAAAACCCAAUAGAGUUUUCUUAAUGUAAACAUAUUAGAAUUCAGACAUUUGAAAGGUAUAAUAAAUACCAUAAUAACCAGAUAUGUCCACAACCAAGACUGUAAAAUUAAACAUCAGAGUAAAUACACCUGGAUGACUUUUCUGAUGCCUUAUCCCCAAAAGGACCCAUUAUCCAAAAUCUGUUUUUGACAUUCUCCUGCUUUGCUCCACGUUUUACCCCUGUGACUAUAUCCCUAAACAAAACCCAUGGUUGCUUUACUUAUUUUAAGCUCUUACAUAAGUAGUAUAUUUAUAUUUAUAUACUACUUAUUGAUUUUUUCUUCACUGAACAUAAUGUUUUUGAAAUCUCUCUAAUAAUGCAGCUUUGGGGUUUUGAUAUUUUAGCUAAGCUUGGUGACCUGCUUGCAUAUUUGUCUGAGGCACUGAGUAUUCCAGUGUUCCAACCACUAACAGGCGUUUCUAGUGCUGAGGACAAAUCUGUGAAUUGUGGUUGCCAUAGAAACCAGAUGUCAUUAUGGCCACUAUGGUGACUGUGAUGACAUUUUAAAGGAGACCCACUUGCUAUGGUUGGAGAGCAGUGUCCCACCUUCAGGUGUUUGGACUCAGCAGAGGGUGUGGGUGCCCCACAAUGAGGAUUGAGGCAUGGAGAGACAAAGGCAUCUGAGACCCAAAUCACCUUGUUCCCACACUGGGUCUUGGUGCCCUGCUGACUCAAGAGGGAGAGAAAUAUGGAACCCUCCUG